This 245-nucleotide ribosomal RNA is filed under the name uncultured Peptococcaceae bacterium. RNAcentral describes it as "partial 16S ribosomal RNA". It matches the Rfam family "Bacterial small subunit ribosomal RNA", at positions 524 to 768 of the family's 1533-position model. The record is from RNAcentral. Lineage: Bacteria; Bacillati; Bacillota; Clostridia; Eubacteriales; Peptococcaceae.
AACGUAGGGGGCAAGCGUUGUCCGGAAUUACUGGGCGUAAAGGGCGCGUAGGUGGUUGUUUAAGUCAGUAGUGAAAUACCAGGGCUUAACCUUGGGGUGGCUAAUGAAACUGAACGACUUGAGUGCAGGAGAGGGGAGUGGAAUUCCCAGUGUAGCGGUGAAAUGCGUAGAUAUUGGGAGGAACACCAGUGGCGAAGGCGGCUCUCUGGCCUGUAACUGACACUGAGGCGCGAAAGCGUGGGGAG